Long non-coding RNA from Bactrocera latifrons, 1316 nucleotides. RefSeq lists it as uncharacterized. The record is from RefSeq and is a predicted model, not a curated record. Lineage: Eukaryota; Metazoa; Arthropoda; Insecta; Diptera; Tephritidae. The transcript has 3 exons.
GUACAUAAAGUACACAUUUCGUCUGUCACACCUUCGGCAUUUACCGUCCUCUGUGCACAUUUGUUGUCAUUGUUUUAUUUGCGUAAAUAUGCUCGUGUUUACAGUCGUGCAUAAAUUCGUAAAUUUAUUCUCUUGCUUCCGAAUAUUCGUUCCGGUAUUGCCUCAUGUUUCCCCGCUUUACGUCUUAGACCAAAGAUAAUCCUCACUUUUGUCAUCUUAACUCUGCUCAUAGUUCACAUUUCAUUUUCAUUAUUUUCCAUACUCUGUAGAAAGCCGUGCGACAUACUUAGAAAAUUAGUCGGCUUUAUUUGCAGCUUUUAUCCUACAAUUAAACGAGUAAGCGUCUGCUUACUUAAGCCAUUCAAAUGCAAAUUAGUUUAGUUCAGAGGUCAAAAGAGUUCGGUAACAAUGGUUGGGCAAAUUGAUAAUAGACAUAAAAAAAGUUUGUGAAAGAAACACUUCAAUUAAAAGUAGGCGUUACAUAUUUAAUAACUACAAGUGAACAAGUAUUGCGUAUGAUAAUACCAAAGCUGCUUGUGGUCUAUCAUAAACAAAGCCAUUUCACAAAUUUCUCCCUCGAGUCCUUGGAAGUUGUUCGUUGCACAAUUUUUCGGAGGCGGUAAAAAAAUGUCUGCUGUAAAAAGUUGAUUUGCAUCAUUGAAAUAUCAACCGUGUUUGUAAAGUUUUUGUAAAAGUGCAGUUAUAUAAACAACAUAUCAAAUGACCAAUGUCACUAAAGGGCAGAUAAUAGCUUUAUCGCAGAUAAUGAAUCCCUUUAAAAUGUCAGACAUCAAAUAGAAGCUGUUGCGACAGGAGUGAUAGUGGAUGUAUCAACGUUUUGCCGAAGGCUGAGAUAGGUUCGCGAUUUUAUGACUGGAAAUGGAAUAAAGCAGUUGGUGUGGCCUGAGAACAGACCCGAUUUCAACCCCAUCGAAAACCUGUGGGCGAUUAUGAAAAAUCAGGCUGUCGCACAGAAGCCGAAUAACUAAAAAGACUGAAUCCGCCCAAAGUAUUGAUUAAGAUAUUUCCCAAUAAAUAGAGUAAAAUUAUAAGAUAAAAGAGCAAUUAAUGUGAUAUUACUAUUGUAAUGAGUUUUGUAAUCAAUAUUGUGAUCUAGAUAUUGAUGCAUGUUGUGGAAUAUUCCUAAAAUUAAUAAUGUGACCAAAUUUGAGUCAAAAAUCCUUUUCAAAAACUUCACAUUAAUAAAUUUUGGCUAAUAAUUUAUUUGUUCAUUAACUCCAAAUCCCAAGAAACUGUCAUUUUCACUUUUUUCUUGAAUGCAUAUUUUAGCUCAUAAUACAAAUUUUCCUACUGAA